This 253-nucleotide ribosomal RNA is filed under the name uncultured bacterium. Its description in RNAcentral is "partial 16S ribosomal RNA". It matches the Rfam family "Bacterial small subunit ribosomal RNA", at positions 524 to 776 of the family's 1533-position model. The record is from RNAcentral.
UACGGAGGGUGCUAGCGUUGUUCGGAAUCACUGGGCGUAAAGCGCGUGUAGGCGGCCCACUAAGUCUGAUGUGAAAGCCCGGGGCUCACCCCCGGAAGUGCAUUGGAAACUGGUGGACUCGAGUCCCGGAGAGGAGGGUGGAAUUCCUGGUGUAGCGGUGAAAUGCGUAGAUAUCAGGAGGAACACCGGUGGCGAAGGCGGCCCUCUGGACGGUGACUGACGCUGAGACGCGAAAGCGUGGGGAGCAAACAGG